This 96-nucleotide microRNA precursor is filed under the name Solanum tuberosum (potato). Its description in RNAcentral is "mir-395 microRNA precursor family". It matches the Rfam family "mir-395 microRNA precursor family". From Rfam's summary of the family: mir-395 was identified in both Arabidopsis thaliana and Oryza sativa computationally and was later experimentally verified. mir-395 is thought to target mRNAs coding for ATP sulphurylases. The record is from Rfam by way of RNAcentral. Lineage: Eukaryota; Viridiplantae; Streptophyta; Magnoliopsida; Solanales; Solanaceae.
GUGUUCCCGAGAGUUCCCCUUGACCACUUCAUGAGGGCUUAAUACUUCAUUUCUGUAUGUCCUGCUGAAGUGUUUGGGGGAACUCCGUGGAAUCAC